This is a long non-coding RNA of Ornithorhynchus anatinus (platypus), 719 nucleotides long. RefSeq lists it as uncharacterized. NCBI's taxonomy places the organism in Eukaryota, Metazoa, Chordata, Mammalia, Monotremata, Ornithorhynchidae. The transcript has 5 exons. The record is from RefSeq and is a predicted model, not a curated record.
UGUAGCAGCACAGUGAAUUUUAGCCCUGGGUCACGGAGCCCCCAGCUGCUUUACCUCAGGGUGUUGAGCAAGCCGUGGUCACAUGACAGCCUACAUAGCAAAGACGAGUGACUGCAACCUGGGUUUGCUCAAGCUAUUCAGCAGCACAGGGAACUCUGAAGAAAUAGCACAGAACUGCAGCAAUAUUGAUAAAGUCGCCCUUUUCAAGAGGAAAGCCCUAUCCAGGUAGAGGUUUUAGAAGGUUCAUCUGUAAAUGAUGCAUUUGACGGAAAGGUCAACCAUCUCACUCUUCCUUUUACUACUGUUGGCAAUAGAAUGUGACUUCAAAUUUAAUCUGAGAGGCGCCUUACCCAUCACCCAGAAAGCAUGACCCAACCUGAAGAGAAUCCUUAAUGUAGCUACAGUAACAGUCACAGAAGUAUCGAAGUUCUUGAAAUCCAGAUUGGAAAACUCCCACGGAUAUCAGGAUGUAGCACCUACGGGAAGAUUGGUGAAGAAUUUAGAAAAAUGAUCAUAAAUCUUGAAGACACCCUUUUAUUCUCAGAAUCAGCUGCACAUAUUGAUUGAGUCAUUCUCUAACAUCCUCCAAGGAAAUCAUAUGGUUCUGAGUAAGCUGAAUGAGCUUAUUCUUUCUCAGUAUAUGUUUCAUGCAAGAGUGGGGAACAUAUUCUAAAUAGUUCAUAUCCUCUUUUUUAAAUCAUGCAUGCCUUCCUCUUAAA